RNAcentral lists this ribosomal RNA (275 nucleotides) under uncultured bacterium. RNAcentral's name for it is "partial 16S ribosomal RNA". It matches the Rfam family "Bacterial small subunit ribosomal RNA", at positions 338 to 630 of the family's 1533-position model. The record is from RNAcentral.
CCUACGGGGGGCUGCAGCAAGGAAUUUUCGGCAAUGGGCGCAAGCCUGACCGAGCAACGCCGCGUGCAGGAUGACGGCCUUCGGGUUGUAAACUGCUUUUAUGAGGGACGAUUUGGACGGUACCCCACGAAUAAGCCCCGGCUAACUCUGUGCCAGCAGCCGCGGUAAUACAGAGGGGGCAAGCGUUGUCCGGAUUGACUGGGCGUAAAGGGUACGUAGGCGGUCUCGUAGGUGGGGUGUGACAUCUCCCGGCUUAACCGGGAGCGGCCGCUCCA